GGAUUCCAUUUGAAUACCUCCUGGGAACCUGUAUGUGGGAUAUAAACUGUCCUUCCUUUGGCCCUAGUCCAAUGUGGAAGUGGGUUAAGGAUGAUGAUGUUUGUACCAUGCUGGAAUUUGGCAGAUGGAUCCGUGCCAGCAGCCGCGGUAAUACGGAGGGUGCAAGCGUUAAUCGGAAUUACUGGGCUUAAAGGGUGCGUAGGUGGUCUAUUAAGUUAGGUGUGAAAUUCCUGGGCUUAACCUGGCCAUGAGACUUAAAACUGAUAGACUGGAGUUUGGCAGAGGG
RNAcentral lists this ribosomal RNA (286 nucleotides) under uncultured bacterium. RNAcentral describes it as "partial 16S ribosomal RNA". It matches the Rfam family "Bacterial small subunit ribosomal RNA", at positions 392 to 658 of the family's 1533-position model. The record is from RNAcentral.